Molecule: unclassified non-coding RNA, 1775 nt
Filed under: Hevea brasiliensis (rubber tree)
Lineage: Eukaryota; Viridiplantae; Streptophyta; Magnoliopsida; Malpighiales; Euphorbiaceae
Source: RNAcentral
CUUUAUAAACAAAUAGCAAUAUUGAAUUACAAGAUUAGACAAACCCCUCAACUCUACAGACAACUACAGUCCAUGGAAGCUCAAACCUAACCUUAUUGAAGUCUAGAUUUUAUCCACUAUUUACACCAUAUUUCAGGAGUGGGAUGAACACCACUGUAAUCUGCAACUUCAUUGUAGUUUUAACCUCAUACAAUUACACAUGCAUAUAGACGAGGUUGUCAGUUCUCAUUUAUACAAAACUCUCUAGAAUGCACAUGUUUGGCUAAAGUUUCCAAACCACAGGGCAGUUCGAAGUUCAUUUUCUAUACACUAGCAAAUGGGCUAAAAGUUUUAUAGCUCUGGCUCCACAUUUACAAACAUCUCCAUCUAGACAACUCUAACUUCUAUUGAAAUUAAUAAGCUAAUAUUUUGAUCCAUAACUCUAUUCUCAUUCUUACUUUAGGCCUAAGAAGAGUAAAAGGGGAAAAAAAAGUCAAGGGCAACUAUAAACUACAAGUUUCAAAUAAUCCCAAGGAAAAAAGAAAAUAUCAACAAAUCACACUAGUUAGGAAGAAUGCCUUAAUCUUCAUCAUCAGAUUGAGAAUCCUGGAUACGCCUUGCUCUGCCUCUGAAGGCACCAUUUGCUUGUCUUUGUCCUGGGUGAAUAAUAUCCUGAACCAUAUGGUGCACUGACCACAACAGAAAUUAAAAAGAUAGCAAGUUUAAAAGAACUAACAGACCAAAUUAUUAAAUCUUGAUAAUGCACAUAGAUGAAAUUUAACAUCAAGACAUUUUAACUGAUAUGAUGUUUGAAAAUCACUUGCAAACAUAGCAUAGAUGAUAGAUCUGAAAUUUCAUUUGCUGUAUCAAUUGAACGUAUUCAACAUUUAGGAAGACUUUAAUUUGUCCAAUUUCAUACCUGAUACCACAGCUUUCACAAAAAGUGCCUUAGCAAACUUGAAUUCUGCUUGAUGUGUAAUGACAAAUUUCUCCUGCAAAUUCAGCAAUCCAUUAGACCACUUGAAUUUGCAAUUUGCGGUCCAUAGUUCUGUACAAUAAAUACUACAAAACUGAUGUGGCAUAUUAAGCAGCAUGUCAUCAAUGAUAAUCCAACCCAUGCAUCUGGUCACCAGAACUUUCCAUUGCACAGAAUAUUUUUGAACACUGAGAACUUAAACUGGUUCUCCUUUCACAGUGGAAGAUUUAAGAAUCCCUUGUCUUGAAACCAAAGUGUUCAGCAUAUUUAUGAAAAAGUCAACCUCAUCACCCUAAAUACGUUGAUUUAGCACACCAUCCAACAAAAAUCCAUCUUAACAGUUCAUUUCCUUUAAUCAUAAAAUGCAUACAAGUUCUUACCACUUCACGAUGUAGAAACUCUAUCAUUUGAUCAAAUCUAGCUUGAUGCCUCAAUAGGAAUGGGCGCAGAUGGUUCAUAUACAAUUGCCUGGCUCCAUUGACAGAUGGCAGCUGUAGCCAAACAAGAAAUGCAAACUUCAUAUGAUAGUAGAGAGGAAACCAGGACAGAAUUUUAUCUGCAAACACUUCAGCGACACUGAAAGUUCCAUAAGCUGCCCAAUAGAGAAGCCAUUUUUGUUGCUCCAUUUGAUCCUUAUUCUCAAUGGCCUUAAAUGUUGCAUAAACAGGCAAAACAGUCCCCACAGAACAACAUGCUGUACGGACGACAAUGUUGGAAUUAAGCGGGCAGAGAAGCAAUUGCAAACCAACCUGGCUUGGGAAAGCCAUGGGACCGACUUUUGCACACAGAGUCAGAGACCAAGGGAGAUGGUUAAUAAAAA